AGUGAACGCUGGCGGUAGGCCUAACACAUGCAAGUCGAACGGCAGCACAGUAAGAGCUUGCUCUUACGGGUGGCGAGUGGCGGACGGGUGAGGAAUACAUCGGAAUCUACUUUUUCGUGGGGGAUAACGUCGGGAAACUUACGCUAUACCGCAUACGACCUACGGGUGAAAGCAGGGGAUCUUCGGACCUUGCGCGUUUGAAUGAGCCGAUGUCGGAUUAGCUAGUUGGCGGGGUAAAGGCCCACCAAGGCGACGACCCGUAGCUGGUCUGAGAGGAUGAUCAGCCACACUGGAACUGAGAAACGGUCCAGACUCCUACGGGAGGCAGCAGUGGGGAAUAUUGGACAAGGGGCGCAAGCCGGAUCCAGCCAUACCGCGUGGGUGAAGAAGGCCUUCGGGUUGUAAAGCCCUGUUGUUGGGAAAGAAAAGCAGCAGGUUAAUACCCCGCUGUUCUGACGGUACCCAAAGAAUAAGCACCGGCUAACUUCGUG
Molecule: ribosomal RNA, 491 nt
Filed under: uncultured bacterium
Lineage: Bacteria
Description: partial 16S ribosomal RNA
Rfam family: Bacterial small subunit ribosomal RNA
Source: RNAcentral